RNAcentral lists this ribosomal RNA (464 nucleotides) under uncultured bacterium. RNAcentral's name for it is "SSU rRNA". It matches the Rfam family "Bacterial small subunit ribosomal RNA", at positions 26 to 518 of the family's 1533-position model. The record is from RNAcentral.
AGGACUAACGCUGGCGGCGUGCCUAACACAUGCAAGUCGAACGAGGUAGCAAUACCUAGUGGCAGACGGGUGAGUAACGCGUGGUCAACCUACCGUUGAGUGGGGGAUAACUAGCCGAAAGGUUAGCUAAUACCGCAUACGUCUCCGAGGGGCAUCCCUUGGCGAUAAAAGGAGCAAUCCGCUCGAUGACGGGACCGCGUCCCAUUAGCUAGAUGGUGGGGUAACGGCCUACCAUGGCACCGAUGGGUAGCUGGUUUGAGAGAGCGACCAGCCACACUGGGACUGAGAAACGGCCCAGACUCCUACGGGAGGCAGCAGUGAGGAAUUUUCCGCAAUGGGCGCAAGCCUGACGGAGCGACGCCGCGUGUGGGAAGAAGGCCUUCGGGUCGUAAACCACUGUCGAAGGGGACGAUAAUGACGGUACCCUUGGAGGAAGCCCCGGCUAACUACGCGCCAGCAGCCGC